GAGGGUAUAGCUCAGUGGUAGAGUGCAUGCCUAGCAUGCACAAGGUUCUGGGUUCAAUCCCCAGAACCUCCA
RNAcentral lists this transfer RNA (72 nucleotides) under Camelus ferus (Wild Bactrian camel). It matches the Rfam family "tRNA". Rfam says of the family: Transfer RNA (tRNA) molecules are approximately 80 nucleotides in length. Their secondary structure includes four short double-helical elements and three loops (D, anti-codon, and T loops). Further hydrogen bonds mediate the characteristic L-shaped molecular structure. tRNAs have two regions of fundamental functional importance: the anti-codon, which is responsible for specific mRNA codon recognition, and the 3' end, to which the tRNAs corresponding amino acid is attached (by aminoacyl-tRNA synthetases). tRNAs cope with the degeneracy of the genetic code in two manners: having more than one tRNA (with a specific anti-codon) for a particular amino acid; and 'wobble' base-pairing, i.e. permitting non-standard base-pairing at the 3rd anti-codon position. Lineage: Eukaryota; Metazoa; Chordata; Mammalia; Artiodactyla; Camelidae. The record is from Rfam by way of RNAcentral.